RNAcentral lists this long non-coding RNA (1187 nucleotides) under Takifugu rubripes (torafugu). RNAcentral describes it as "lncRNA (ENSTRUG00000031094.1)". The record is from RNAcentral. Lineage: Eukaryota; Metazoa; Chordata; Actinopteri; Tetraodontiformes; Tetraodontidae.
GGGCGGGCUGGGGGGGUCUUUUAGGGGACGAUUAGCAGAAAUUUAAAUAGGGGGGGACAGGUGCGACUUUAAUGGUUGCAUUGAUUAUUUAAAACUAUUUAUUUGACUUGGAGUGCGCAUUUUUAUUUAUUUGUUUGUGUUGAAUGUUCUGAUUAAUUUCUAUUAUUCUUUUUUCUUUCUUUUUUUGGGGGGGUGAGCUUGCUGGAUUUCUAUAAGAGCAUCUACAGGGAACGCGUCUUUAAUCAACCUAUAAACAGACAAGUGAUCGCUAGAGACGGUGGGAUCGCGCUCCUCCGCAGCUGCCCGCAACAUUACUCGGCGACUUCGUACCUGGAAGAAGACCCCUGGGCAAUUACGACAUAUGCUCGGAUUAUGCGUAAUGGUCUAAUUACGCAGACCGAAUUAGGCAUUCAUUAUACGACGCAUCAUCUGCAACAGACAUCUCAAUCAAACACAGAGAACCAGUAUUUCCCUCUGCCCUAAGAACUCCACCCACUUAAACAGACCAGUAAUUUUUUUUAUUUAUUCAUCUAUUUAUUUAAGGACAGCCUUAAAUGCGUGUGUGUGUGUGUUUGGGGGGCGUCGCCUUUUCACCAGCUGGUAAUUUUAUGUCUUGAAUUUUAGUUUUUUUGGUGUUGGCCUAAUGAACAAACAUUUUGUGUUAUUAAAAGCAAACCAGAUCAUGUCAGACAAUACAAAUAAAGCAAUCUAAAAGCAGGUUUAUGUAUUGGGAGAAUUUGUCCACAGGCAAGUAGAUGGGUGUGUGUGUGUGUGUGUGUGUGUGUGUGUGUGUGUGUGUGUGUGUGUGUGUGAGUGUGUGUGUGUGUGUGUGUGUGUGUGAGAGAGAGAGCGAGAGAGGGCUGCACCAGUCCAUUGACUCCACAUGGUGAGACGCAGCAGGACUGAUGAGGGCUGUACCUGAGCUCAGUGUUUGCGCCGCCGACUGUAACCACAACAGAGGCCCUUGACCCCGCAGCAUAAUUCACACCGACGAGACAGCGUCGUUCACACUCUCGCUCCAUCAUUUAGCCCUCCCGUGACAGGUGACGACAAAUCAUCCCAUUAAACUCCACACUAGACUCGGUCAUUUGAGUGUGAAGAGGAAAGUUAUGAGGGAAAAAAAAGGGUGAACGCGGUAUGAAAAUAAGAAGAAUAAUCAGAAUCUCAGAGCUUUCAUGUGUAUUCAC